ACCCACUGUAUAAUUUGUUUUCGAAAAAACUUGGGCGUUCGUGUCGAAAAUUAACUUUGAAAAUGCGCGAAAUCGUGCUGCGUCACCGUAUUUUCCACACGAGCCGUCAUGGAUUAAACAAAGGUUAGAUUAUGACGUCAUAGAAUGCGAAUUACCACGUUUGAUUUCUACGUUACAGAUUACGUAAUUUGCUAGUUUUUUGGGGGAUGUGGGUUAAAAGUUAGGGUUGGGGUUUUCCCUAGCAUAAAACACUACGAAAAACAAGAUUAUAACGUCCUGUAACGUUCGUAAUAUGUCACUACUGUGACGUAACAUUCGCUAUUGUGACGUAAUAUAUCGUUAACCUUACGCAAGUCAGGCGAAUUACGGUGACGCAGCAUGUUUUCGCGCAUUUUCAAAGUUAACGUGGUGUGUGAGCCUUUUUCCCUUUUGUCACGAACAGUCUCAACAGUUCUAGAAACUUCCAUUGGUCACAAGCUGUUUCAUCAACCUCACAACUGUCACAACCGAACCGACGAUAAUGCGCGUCUGAACAGGCGUCGAGGUUGGUGAGGAUGCAACGGUGCGAUGAAUUAUCGUACAGCUCGUGCGUUGUG
Molecule: non-coding RNA, 596 nt
Organism: Ciona intestinalis (vase tunicate)
Lineage: Eukaryota; Metazoa; Chordata; Ascidiacea; Phlebobranchia; Cionidae
Source: RefSeq, a predicted model, not a curated record